ACUUAAAUUGAAGAGUUUGAUCAUGGCUCAGAUUGAACGCUGGCGGCAGGCCUAACACAUGCAAGUCGAGCGGUAGCACAGAGAGCUUGCUCUCGGGUGACGAGCGGCGGACGGGUGAGUAAUGUCUGGGAAACUGCCUGAUGGAGGGGGAUAACUACUGGAAACGGUAGCUAAUACCGCAUAACGUCGCAAGACCAAAGUGGGGGACCUUCGGGCCUCAUGCCAUCAGAUGUGCCCAGAUGGGAUUAGCUAGUAGGUGGGGUAAUGGCUCACCUAGGCGACGAUCCCUAGCUGGUCUGAGAGGAUGACCAGCCACACUGGAACUGAGACACGGUCCAGACUCCUACGGGAGGCAGCAGUGGGGAAUAUUGCACAAUGGGCGCAAGCCUGAUGCAGCCAUGCCGCGUGUGUGAAGAAGGCCUUCGGGUUGUAAAGCACUUUCAGCGGGGAGGAAGGCGAUAAGGUUAAUAACCUUGUCGAUUGACGUUACCCGCAGAAGAAGCACCGGCUAACUCCGUGCCAGCAGCCGCGGUAAUACGGAGGGUGCAAGCGUUAAUCGGAAUUACUGGGCGUAAAGCGCACGCAGGCGGUCUGUCAAGUCGGAUGUGAAAUCCCCGGGCUCAACCUGGGAACUGCAUUCGAAACUGGCAGGCUAGAGUCUUGUAGAGGGGGGUAGAAUUCCAGGUGUAGCGGUGAAAUGCGUAGAGAUCUGGAGGAAUACCGGUGGCGAAGGCGGCCCCCUGGACAAAGACUGACGCUCAGGUGCGAAAGCGUGGGGAGCAAACAGGAUUAGAUACCCUGGUAGUCCACGCCGUAAACGAUGUCGAUUUGGAGGUUGUGCCCUUGAGGCGUGGCUUCCGGAGCUAACGCGUUAAAUCGACCGCCUGGGGAGUACGGCCGCAAGGUUAAAACUCAAAUGAAUUGACGGGGGCCCGCACAAGCGGUGGAGCAUGUGGUUUAAUUCGAUGCAACGCGAAGAACCUUACCUGGUCUUGACAUCCACAGAACUUUCCAGAGAUGGAUUGGUGCCUUCGGGAACUGUGAGACAGGUGCUGCAUGGCUGUCGUCAGCUCGUGUUGUGAAAUGUUGGGUUAAGUCCCGCAACGAGCGCAACCCUUAUCCUUUGUUGCCAGCGGUUAGGCCGGGAACUCAAAGGAGACUGCCAGUGAUAAACUGGAGGAAGGUGGGGAUGACGUCAAGUCAUCAUGGCCCUUACGACCAGGGCUACACACGUGCUACAAUGGCAUAUACAAAGAGAAGCGACCUCGCGAGAGCAAGCGGACCUCAUAAAGUAUGUCGUAGUCCGGAUUGGAGUCUGCAACUCGACUCCAUGAAGUCGGAAUCGCUAGUAAUCGUAGAUCAGAAUGCUACGGUGAAUACGUUCCCGGGCCUUGUACACACCGCCCGUCACACCAUGGGAGUGGGUUGCAAAAGAAGUAGGUAGCUUAACCUUCGGGAGGGCGCUUACCACUUUUUGAUUCAUGACUGGGGUGAAGUCGUAACAAGGUAACCGUAGGGGAACCUGCGGUUGGAUCACCUCCUUACCUUAAAGAA
Molecule: ribosomal RNA, 1554 nt
Filed under: Klebsiella pneumoniae
Lineage: Bacteria; Pseudomonadati; Pseudomonadota; Gammaproteobacteria; Enterobacterales; Enterobacteriaceae
Description: bacterial SSU rRNA
Rfam family: Bacterial small subunit ribosomal RNA
Source: RNAcentral